UGGGGAAUCUUGGACAAUGGGGGCAACCCUGAUCCAGCCAUGCCGCGUGGGUGAAGAAGGCCUUAGGGUUGUAAAGCCCUUUCAGCAGGGAAGAAGAUGACGGUACCUGCAGAAGAAGCCCCGGCUAACUCCGUGCCAGCAGCCGCGGUAAGACGGAGGGGGCUAGCGUUGUUCGGAAUUACUGGGCGUAAAGGGCGCGUAGGCGGACUGCCAAGUCAGGGGUGAAAGGCCUGGGCUCAACCUGGGAACGGCCCUUGAAACUGACAGUCUUGAGUCCGGGAGAGGAGAGCGGAAUUCCCAGUGUAGAGGUGAAAUUCGUAGAUAUUGGGAAGAACACCAGUGGCGAAGGCGGCUCUCUGGACCGGCACUGACGCUGAGGCGCGAAAGCGUGGGGAGCAAACA
This 402-nucleotide ribosomal RNA is filed under the name uncultured bacterium. Its description in RNAcentral is "bacterial SSU rRNA". It matches the Rfam family "Bacterial small subunit ribosomal RNA", at positions 355 to 774 of the family's 1533-position model. The record is from RNAcentral.